RNAcentral lists this long non-coding RNA (609 nucleotides) under Olea europaea (common olive). RNAcentral's name for it is "long non-coding RNA (OEUR_LNC011326)". Lineage: Eukaryota; Viridiplantae; Streptophyta; Magnoliopsida; Lamiales; Oleaceae. The record is from RNAcentral.
GAACUGCAUGAGCACACAGUUGCAUUUCCUUGACAGAGCUAUUCAAUUACAUGACUUACGCAUCCGUGUUACGUUUGCAUUUGUACCUCGGAAAAUGAGGCAGAAUGAUCAGUCUAUGAGCAUUUUUGAAGUCUUUAGAGAUCUGUGGGGGCUUAAACGGAUCGGUGCUUCUAAAAAAUUCAGUGAUCUACGGUCAACAUACAAAAAACUAGUUUCACAAACAAUGAAUGGAAUUAAUUCUUUUCCCGAUUCCUGUGUUUCAGGAUAAAGGAGCUUGUUCAAGGUGAAGGACGUUCGAAAUGCAGAGCCAGAGCACAUGGAGAUCCCACUGUUCUAGAGCGGGUAAGUCUACAGGAUCUUCUCCAAAGUUCGUGGUCAGUAAAUGUAGAGACUAAUCCAAAAUAAUAAAGUUAUACAACCUUGUAAAUUUUGUUUGAUAUGAACAUAUAUUGGUUUUGAGCAUUGACAGUCUACUUUCAGGUACUCAGUGGCAUGGUGUCCCAUUUAUAGAAUACCUGAUGGCACUCUUCGUGCGGCUUUCUUGACUUACCAUUCACUUGGUCAUUUGGUACGCAAAGAUCCCAUACAUGAUUUGUCGGUGGAUACUUG